This 281-nucleotide ribosomal RNA is filed under the name uncultured bacterium. Its description in RNAcentral is "partial 16S ribosomal RNA". It matches the Rfam family "Bacterial small subunit ribosomal RNA", at positions 78 to 354 of the family's 1533-position model. The record is from RNAcentral.
CCUUUACCAGCCGGCGACCGGCGCACGGGUGAGUAACACGUAUGCAACCUGCCCGUGGCAGGGGGAUAAGCGGGGGAAACCCCGUCUAAUACCGCGUAACGCGGCCUUGGGGCAUCCCAAGGCCGCCAAAGGGAGCAAUCCCGGCCACGGAUGGGCAUGCGGCGCAUUAGCUAGUCGGCGGGGUAACGGCCCACCGAGGCGACGAUGCGUAGGGGUUCUGAGAGGAAGGCCCCCCACCACUGGUACUGAGACACGGACCAGACUCCUACGGGAGGCAGCAG